Molecule: ribosomal RNA, 521 nt
Filed under: uncultured fungus
Lineage: Eukaryota; Fungi
Description: eukaryotic LSU rRNA
Rfam family: 5.8S ribosomal RNA (bases 170-323)
Source: RNAcentral
UCCGUAGGUGAACCUGCGGAAGGAUCAUUACCUAGAGUUGUAGGCUUCUGUCUACCAUCUCUUACCCAUGUCUAUAAGUACCUUCGUUUCCUCGGCGGGUCCGCCCGCCGAUUGGACAAUUUAAACCAUUUGCAGUUGCAAUCAGCGUCUGAAAAAACUUAAUAAUUACAACUUUCAACAACGGAUCUCUUGGUUCUGGCAUCGAUGAAGAACGCAGCGAAAUGCGAUAAGUAGUGUGAAUUGCAGAAUUCAGUGAAUCAUCGAAUCUUUGAACGCACAUUGCGCCCCUUGGUAUUCCAUGGGGCAUGCCUGUUCGAGCGUCAUUUGUACCUUCAAGCCUUGCUUGGUGUUGGGUGUUUGUCUCGCCUUUGCGCGCAGACUCGCCUCAAAACAAUUGGCAGCCGGCGUAUUGAUUUCGGAGCGCAGUACAUCUAGCGCUUUGCCUUCAGAACGACGACGUCCAAAAGUACAUUUUUACACUCUUGACCUCGGAUCAGGUAGGGAUACCCGCUGAACUUAAA